Molecule: ribosomal RNA, 406 nt
Filed under: uncultured Amorphus sp.
Lineage: Bacteria; Pseudomonadati; Pseudomonadota; Alphaproteobacteria; Hyphomicrobiales; Amorphaceae
Description: bacterial SSU rRNA
Rfam family: Bacterial small subunit ribosomal RNA
Source: RNAcentral
AUGCCGCGUGAGUGAUGAAGGCCUUCGGGUUGUAAAGCUCUUUCGGCGGGGACGAUAAUGACGGUACCAGUAGAAGAAGCUCCUGCUAACUCCGUGCCAGCAGCCGCGGUAAUACUAAGGGGGCUAGCGUUGUUCGGAAUUACUGGGCGUAAAGGGUGCGUAGGCUGUUGGGCAAGUCAGGUGUGAAAGCCCCUGGGCUCAACUCGGGGAGUGCCCUUGAAACUGACUGGCUUGAGUGCGGGAGAGGCUGGUGGAAUUCCGUGUGGUAAAGGUUGAAUUCGUUUUAUAUUUGGAAGAACACCAUUUGGCGAAGGCGGCUAACUGGACCGGUACUGACGCUUAAGUCCUGAACCCUGGGGAACCAUCAGGAAUUAAAUCCCGGGGUCGUCAACGGGAUAAAAUACCC